Long non-coding RNA from Chinchilla lanigera (long-tailed chinchilla), 842 nucleotides. RefSeq lists it as uncharacterized. Lineage: Eukaryota; Metazoa; Chordata; Mammalia; Rodentia; Chinchillidae. The transcript is spliced from 2 exons. The record is from RefSeq and is a predicted model, not a curated record.
AGGCGGAAGUGCGGAGAGGCGGACGGGUUAGGGCCACCGCAUAGUCCCCAGGGCCGUGGGAAUGGGGGCGCCUCCGUGGGGAGCCAGCGUGGGCCGAGUGCGGAGGCCGAGACCCCGACCCCUCCCCACGGCCGGCCGCGCGAUGAUUUGCUGGUGCCUGGUGACUGUAGAGGGUCCGGCUGUAAAAUGUAAUCCCAGCCAGUGUGACAUCACCGCAGUCUGGUGUGACAGCCCCGGAGAUUGGGCAACGCUCGGGGAGGCUGGGAAGCCCCCGGGGGUGAGGAACUACAACAGCUUAGCCUUUCCGAUUUCUUUUCCAGGUGGAGAUGUUCUAGCAGUGGGGCAUCAGCAUACGGGUUGUGCACAUCAGGUGUCUCUUAGGGAGCGCUCCCAUUUCCGCCUUGGGCAUCAGUAUUCGCUUUAGGUGAGCUGGAAUAGCUGUUCUGAACCUGACCCUUCAUGCAGUGAGCGAAUGCUGACAGCUUUCUAGCCUCCACCAGGCCAUAAGGCUGGAUACAAUGCGUUGGACCUUGAGUCCUGAGAAAAUGAACACUAGGUUAUCCUAAUAGAAUUGCUGCCAUCUCCUAUCGUCAAGAGAGUCUAUAGGACUUCAGAUAUGCCUCCUGUUGUGUAAGACGUUCUUCUGACUCCCAAGGAAUAAUCCAGGAAAAAUUCUGGCUCCCUAAUUGUUUUCAUGAAGAGGCACAUGAGUGAUGGGGCUACACUAGGACCUGCUGGGUCCCAGCAGAAAUGAUGGCUUGAUGGAAGAGGAGUCUGGAUGAACGGUGUGCUUAUGAGAUUAAAGUAGAAGGAAUUAAAAAAUAAGAGAAGGUGAAACUAGA